Molecule: long non-coding RNA, 1109 nt
Organism: Nerophis ophidion (straightnose pipefish)
Lineage: Eukaryota; Metazoa; Chordata; Actinopteri; Syngnathiformes; Syngnathidae
Exons: 3
Source: RefSeq, a predicted model, not a curated record
ACCAUCUUCCCCUUUAAGGACCCAACAUAGACCCAAACUACCUUAUAAAUGACCAUCUUCCCUAUUAAGGAUCCAAAUAGUCCCAAAGUACUCCAAGUUGACACCAGUUACUCAGGCUGUCCAAACCUUUUCCACCAAGGCUGGCACACAAAAAGUGUUUGGAGGCCAUUUUGAAAAAGUUUCAUUUGGUGAAAAAAGAGGAGCUGGUUGAUAUUUCAAGACACACAUGAUGACUAUUGAUCAUGUGACUUUCCAAUUAGCCCACGAACAGUACGCAGAGUGCUUAGUGGAAUGGGUUUCCAUGGCCGAGCAGCAGCACCUAAGCCAUACAUCAGCAAGUCCAAUGCAGUGGUGUAAAGCACGUCUGGGUUUGGAUCUCGCCAGGAGAACGCUACAUUUCGGACUGCAUUGUGCAGAGUGUGGAAUUUGGUGGUGGAGGAAUUAUGGUGUGGGGUUGUUUUUCAGGCGUUACUUUGAAUGCUCCAGGAUACCAAAACAUUUUGGACAAUUCCCUGGGAUGGCAACUCAAGUUCACAUCGCCUCCUGGGCCCUCAAGGCUUCUCGCUGGUUCCUCUGGGUCCACGCCACGGCCCGCCACCCUCGCCAGGCUCUCAGCUGCCGCCUCCAGUCACACAAGGCCUUGGCCUUUCCCACACGCAGCCUCCGCUCCAGCACCAGCGAGUACCAUCGGGAGAAGUGCCGGCGCUGACACUAGGGGGCGCCGCCACCUGUCAGACCUCGGCUGACACAGAGAGAUACCUGUGACACAGUCGGACGAUCUCCUGCUGCACCAUCUCCUCCUGCCUCCUCCUGGCCUCCUGCCUCUUCCUCCUCUCCUCCAGCUCCCGCUCUCUCCUCCGGGCCUCCUCGCCGGCUGCGUCCCGCCGGGCUCUCUUCUCGCGCACCUGUGGCUAGCGUUAACCCAGGGUGGCGCGGGAUUGUCUGUGGUGACCUACCUGCUGGUGGCGCACCUGCAUGGUGACCACGGGGUCGUUGAACUUCCUGUGCCUGCCGUCCUGUGUCAGCUGCUCCAUGGUGCGAGCGUCCAGCAUUUCCUGCUCCUGCAGGUCGUGCAGGAAGUUGCUGACGGCGCGGUGCUCUUCCUCCUC